RNAcentral lists this microRNA precursor (149 nucleotides) under Mustela putorius furo (domestic ferret). RNAcentral's name for it is "miRNA (ENSMPUG00000021691.1)". The record is from RNAcentral. Lineage: Eukaryota; Metazoa; Chordata; Mammalia; Carnivora; Mustelidae.
GUAUAACCAUGUUCCAAUUUGAGUCUCAGAGAAACAAUGAGUUCUUUUUUGGAAUAAGCAAAUCCCAUGCAAUAUUUGGGACAUACUUAUGCUAAAAAAUUAUUCAUUGUUUAUCUGAAAUUCUCAUUUAACAGGGCAUCCUGUAUUUU